RNAcentral lists this small RNA (29 nucleotides) under Bombyx mori (domestic silkworm). RNAcentral's name for it is "ovarian small RNA-36596". Lineage: Eukaryota; Metazoa; Arthropoda; Insecta; Lepidoptera; Bombycidae. The record is from RNAcentral.
UUACGUUAUAGAUGUCUAUGGGCUCCGGU